CAAUGAUUGAGUCAGUCACGUAUGGCCAAUGAUUGAGUCAGUCACGUGUAUGUAAUAAGGCCUCCAUAAAAACCGAAGAGGAUGGGGUUUGCAGAGCUUCUAGGCUGGUGAGCACUUGGAUGUGCUGGAGGCAUCCAGAGGGUGGAGCACGUGGAGAGGGCAUGAAUGCUCCGUGCACCUUCCCUCAUACCUUGCCUUAUACAGCGUUUCCAUCUGGCUGCUGUUGAGUUUUAUUCUUUAUAACAAUAUGCUAAACCUAAGCAAAGUUUUCCUGAGUUCUGUGAGCCAUUCUAGCAAAUGGUGGAACCUGAGAAAGGGGACAUGGGAAUCUCUGACUUACAGCCAGUCAGUCCGAAGCACAGGAUACCAAAAUCAUCAUACCAGAGACAUGAAUCUCCCUCAUUUGGCAUCCCAGGAGGCCUGGAUCAGUUUCACUGUGAAUGCUCUGCUGCUCAACCACACAAGCACCCUUCCUCCAGGCCCAGGGGAUACUGCAGAAGAGGCUGAAGGUUGCACUAUUGGCUUCCCUACUUUUGAGGUUUUGGGACUCCGACUGGCUUCCUGGCUCCUCACCUUGCAGAUGGUCUAUUGUGGGACCUCAUCUUGUGAUCAUGUCUCAGUAUGUUGCUCAGACUGGUCUUGAACUCCUGGCCUCAAGUGAUCCUCCCGCCUCAGCCUCUUGAGUAGCUGGGACUACAGUUGCAAGCCAUCCUGUCUGGCUAGUUAUCUUUAAUUAAUGACAUUUGUUAAAGUAACACAAAAAUCCUAGAAACAUUUGCCUGUUGAAACUUUCUGAUAAUUUGAAUGAAGUAAAGUUUGGAGUCUCUGUCUCACUGAAAAUACUCAAGGUUAAUAUAAUAAAAACAGCAAAGCAGUAA
RNAcentral lists this non-coding RNA (878 nucleotides) under Pan troglodytes (chimpanzee). Lineage: Eukaryota; Metazoa; Chordata; Mammalia; Primates; Hominidae. The record is from RNAcentral.